ACACAUGCAAGUCGAACGGCAGCGCGGGUUUCGGCCUGGCGGCGAGUGACGGACGGGUGAGUAAUGCAUCGGAACGUGUCCUGUAGAGGGGGAUAGCCCGGCGAAAGCCGGAUUAAUACCGCAUACGAUCUACGGAUGAAAGCGGGGGACCUUCGGGCCUCGCGCUAUAGGGGCGGCCGAUGUCGGAUUAGCUAGUUGGUGGGGUAAAGGCCUACCAAGGCGACGAUCCGUAGCUGGUCUGAGAGGACGACCAGCCACACUGGGAYUGAGACACGGCCCAGACUCCUACGGGAGGCAGCAGUGGGGAAUUUUGGACAAUGGGGGCAACCCUGAUCCAGCAAUGCCGCGUGUGUGAAGAAGGCCUUCGGGUUGUAAAGCACUUUUGUUCGGGAAGAAAGCGUUAGGGUAAAUAAUCUUAAUGUAUGACGGUACCGAAAGAAUAAGCACCGGCUAACUACGUGCCAGCAGCCGCGGUAAUACGUAGGGUGCAAGCGUUAAUCGGAAUUAUUGGGCGUAAAGGGUGCGUAGGCGGUUUGUUAAGACGGAUGUGAAAUCCCUGGGCUCAACCUGGGAACUGCAUACGUGACUGGCAGACUAGAGUAUGGCAGAGGGAGGUGGAAUUCCACGUGUAGCAGUGAAAUGCGUAGAUAUGUGGAGGAACACCGAUGGCGAAGGCAGCCUCCUGGGCCAAUACUGACGCUGAGGCACGAAAGCGUGGGGAGCAAACAGGAUUAGAUACCCUGGUAGUCCACGCCCUAAACGAUGUCAACUGGU
Molecule: ribosomal RNA, 774 nt
Filed under: uncultured Candidatus Glomeribacter sp.
Lineage: Bacteria; Pseudomonadati; Pseudomonadota; Betaproteobacteria; Burkholderiales; Burkholderiaceae
Description: bacterial SSU rRNA
Rfam family: Bacterial small subunit ribosomal RNA
Source: RNAcentral